UGGGGGAUCUUCGGCAAUGGGGGCAACCCUGACCGAGCCAUGCCGCGUGAGCGAUGAAGGCCUUAGGGUUGUAAAGCUCUUUCGCCAGGGAUGAUAAUGACAGUACCUGGUAAAGAAACCCCGGCUAACUCCGUGCCAGCAGCCGCGGUAAUACGGAGGGGGUUAGCGUUGUUCGGAAUUACUGGGCGUAGAGCGCGCGUAGGCGGAUUGGAAAGUUGGGGGUGAAAUCCCAGGGCUCAACCCUGGAACUGCCUCCAAAACUGCCAGUCUUGAGUUCGAGAGAGGUGAGUGGAAUUCCGAGUGUAGAGGUGAAAUUCGUAGAUAUUCGGAGGAACACCAGUGGCGAAGGCGGCUCACUGGCUCGAUACUGACGCUGAGGUGCGAAAGCGUGGGGAGCAAACAGGAUUAGAAACCCCUGUAGUCC
Molecule: ribosomal RNA, 424 nt
Filed under: uncultured prokaryote
Description: bacterial SSU rRNA
Rfam family: Bacterial small subunit ribosomal RNA
Source: RNAcentral